AUUGAACGCUGGCGGCAUGCCUUACACAUGCAAGUCGAACGGUAACGGGUCCUUCGGGAUGCCGACGAGUGGCGAACGGGCGAGUAAUAUAUCGGAACGUGCCCAGUAGUGGGGGAUAACUGCUCGAAAGAGCAGCUAAUACCGCAUACGACCUGAGGGUGAAAGGGGGGGAUCGUAAGCCCUCUCGCUAUUGGAGCGGCCGAUAUCAGAUUAGCUAGUUGGUGGGGUAAAGGCCUACCAAGGCAACGAUCUGUAGUUGGUCUGAGAGGACGACCAGCCACACUGGGACUGAGACACGGCCCAGACUCCUACGGGAGGCAGCAGUGGGGAAUUUUGGACAAUGGGCGCAAGCCUGAUCCAGCAAUGCCGCGUGCAGGAAGAAGGCCUUCGGGUUGUAAACUGCUUUUGUCAGGGAAGAAAUCUUCUGGGCUAAUACCCCGGGAGGAUGACGGUACCUGAAGAAUAAGCACCGGCUAACUACGUGCCAGCCGCCGCCGUAA
This 500-nucleotide ribosomal RNA is filed under the name uncultured bacterium. RNAcentral describes it as "partial 16S ribosomal RNA". It matches the Rfam family "Bacterial small subunit ribosomal RNA", at positions 30 to 523 of the family's 1533-position model. The record is from RNAcentral.